RNAcentral lists this transfer RNA (84 nucleotides) under Plantibacter flavus. RNAcentral describes it as "tRNA-Leu". It matches the Rfam family "tRNA". Rfam says of the family: Transfer RNA (tRNA) molecules are approximately 80 nucleotides in length. RNAcentral also lists the same sequence under 2 other names. Lineage: Bacteria; Bacillati; Actinomycetota; Actinomycetes; Micrococcales; Microbacteriaceae. The record is from RNAcentral.
GCCGGUGUGGCGGAAUGGCAGACGCGGAGCACUCAAAAUGCUUUGUCGAAAGACGUGUGGGUUCGAGUCCCACCACCGGUACCG